RNAcentral lists this ribosomal RNA (425 nucleotides) under uncultured bacterium. RNAcentral describes it as "partial 16S ribosomal RNA". It matches the Rfam family "Bacterial small subunit ribosomal RNA", at positions 354 to 796 of the family's 1533-position model. The record is from RNAcentral.
GUGAGGAAUUUUCCGCAAUGGGCGAAAGCCUGACGGAGCAAUGCCGCGUGAAGGAUGAAGGCCUAUGGGUUGUAAACUUCUUUUCUCAGAAAAGAAUUAUGACGGUAUCUGAGGAAUAAGCAUCGGCUAACUCUGUGCCAGAAGCCGCGGUAAGACAGAGGAUGCAAGCGUUAUCCGGAAUGAUUGGGCGUAAAGCGUCUGUAGGUUGUUUAAAAAGUAUUCUGUCAAAGAUUAGGGCUUAACCCUAGAUAGGCAGAAUAAACUUUUAAGCUAGAGUUUGGUAGAGGCAGAGGGAAUUCCCGGUGGAGCGGUGAAAUGCGUAGAUAUCGGGAGGAACACCAAAGGCGAAGGCACUCUGCUGGGCCAAUACUAACACUGAGAGACGAAAGCGAGGGGAGCAAAUGGGAUUAGAUACCUGGUAGUCC